This 2832-nucleotide ribosomal RNA is filed under the name Pseudomonas aeruginosa. Its description in RNAcentral is "bacterial LSU rRNA". It matches the Rfam family "Bacterial large subunit ribosomal RNA". The record is from RNAcentral. Lineage: Bacteria; Pseudomonadati; Pseudomonadota; Gammaproteobacteria; Pseudomonadales; Pseudomonadaceae.
AGCGCAUACGGUGGAUGCCUUGGCAGUCAGAGGCGAUGAAAGACGUGGUAGCCUGCGAAAAGCUUCGGGGAGUCGGCAAACAGACUUUGAUCCGGAGAUCUCUGAAUGGGGGAACCCACCUAGGAUAACCUAGGUAUCUUGUACUGAAUCCAUAGGUGCAAGAGGCGAACCAGGGGAACUGAAACAUCUAAGUACCCUGAGGAAAAGAAAUCAACCGAGAUUCCCUUAGUAGUGGCGAGCGAACGGGGAUUAGCCCUUAAGCUUCAUUGAUUUUAGCGGAACGCUCUGGAAAGUGCGGCCAUAGUGGGUGAUAGCCCCGUACGCGAAAGGAUCUUUGAAGUGAAAUCGAGUAGGACGGAGCACGAGAAACUUUGUCUGAACAUGGGGGGACCAUCCUCCAAGGCUAAAUACUACUGACUGACCGAUAGUGAACCAGUACCGUGAGGGAAAGGCGAAAAGAACCCCGGAGAGGGGAGUGAAAUAGAACCUGAAACCGUAUGCGUACAAGCAGUGGGAGCCUACUUGUUAGGUGACUGCGUACCUUUUGUAUAAUGGGUCAGCGACUUAUAUUCAGUGGCAAGCUUAACCGUAUAGGGUAGGCGUAGCGAAAGCGAGUCUUAAUAGGGCGUUUAGUCGCUGGGUAUAGACCCGAAACCGGGCGAUCUAUCCAUGAGCAGGUUGAAGGUUAGGUAACACUGACUGGAGGACCGAACCCACUCCCGUUGAAAAGGUAGGGGAUGACUUGUGGAUCGGAGUGAAAGGCUAAUCAAGCUCGGAGAUAGCUGGUUCUCCUCGAAAGCUAUUUAGGUAGCGCCUCAUGUAUCACUCUGGGGGGUAGAGCACUGUUUCGGCUAGGGGGUCAUCCCGACUUACCAAACCGAUGCAAACUCCGAAUACCCAGAAGUGCCGAGCAUGGGAGACACACGGCGGGUGCUAACGUCCGUCGUGAAAAGGGAAACAACCCAGACCGCCAGCUAAGGUCCCAAAGUUGUGGUUAAGUGGUAAACGAUGUGGGAAGGCUUAGACAGCUAGGAGGUUGGCUUAGAAGCAGCCAUCCUUUAAAGAAAGCGUAAUAGCUCACUAGUCGAGUCGGCCUGCGCGGAAGAUGUAACGGGGCUCAAACCACACACCGAAGCUGCGGGUGUCACGUAAGUGACGCGGUAGAGGAGCGUUCUGUAAGCCUGUGAAGGUGAGUUGAGAAGCUUGCUGGAGGUAUCAGAAGUGCGAAUGCUGACAUGAGUAACGACAAUGGGUGUGAAAAACACCCACGCCGAAAGACCAAGGGUUCCUGCGCAACGUUAAUCGACGCAGGGUUAGUCGGUUCCUAAGGCGAGGCUGAAAAGCGUAGUCGAUGGGAAACAGGUUAAUAUUCCUGUACUUCUGGUUACUGCGAUGGAGGGACGGAGAAGGCUAGGCCAGCUUGGCGUUGGUUGUCCAAGUUUAAGGUGGUAGGCUGAAAUCUUAGGUAAAUCCGGGGUUUCAAGGCCGAGAGCUGAUGACGAGUCGUCUUUUAGAUGACGAAGUGGUUGAUGCCAUGCUUCCAAGAAAAGCUUCUAAGCUUCAGGUAACCAGGAACCGUACCCCAAACCGACACAGGUGGUCGGGUAGAGAAUACCAAGGCGCUUGAGAGAACUCGGGUGAAGGAACUAGGCAAAAUGGCACCGUAACUUCGGGAGAAGGUGCGCCGGCUAGGGUGAAGGAUUUACUCCGUAAGCUCUGGCUGGUCGAAGAUACCAGGCCGCUGCGACUGUUUAUUAAAAACACAGCACUCUGCAAACACGAAAGUGGACGUAUAGGGUGUGACGCCUGCCCGGUGCCGGAAGGUUAAUUGAUGGGGUUAGCGCAAGCGAAGCUCUUGAUCGAAGCCCCGGUAAACGGCGGCCGUAACUAUAACGGUCCUAAGGUAGCGAAAUUCCUUGUCGGGUAAGUUCCGACCUGCACGAAUGGCGUAACGAUGGCGGCGCUGUCUCCACCCGAGACUCAGUGAAAUUGAAAUCGCUGUGAAGAUGCAGUGUAUCCGCGGCUAGACGGAAAGACCCCGUGAACCUUUACUGUAGCUUUGCACUGGACUUUGAGCCUGCUUGUGUAGGAUAGGUGGGAGGCUUUGAAGCGUGGACGCCAGUUCGCGUGGAGCCAUCCUUGAAAUACCACCCUGGCAUGCUUGAGGUUCUAACUCUGGUCCGUAAUCCGGAUCGAGGACAGUGUAUGGUGGGCAGUUUGACUGGGGCGGUCUCCUCCUAAAGAGUAACGGAGGAGUACGAAGGUGCGCUCAGACCGGUCGGAAAUCGGUCGCAGAGUAUAAAGGCAAAAGCGCGCUUGACUGCGAGACAGACACGUCGAGCAGGUACGAAAGUAGGUCUUAGUGAUCCGGUGGUUCUGUAUGGAAGGGCCAUCGCUCAACGGAUAAAAGGUACUCCGGGGAUAACAGGCUGAUACCGCCCAAGAGUUCAUAUCGACGGCGGUGUUUGGCACCUCGAUGUCGGCUCAUCACAUCCUGGGGCUGAAGCCGGUCCCAAGGGUAUGGCUGUUCGCCAUUUAAAGUGGUACGCGAGCUGGGUUUAGAACGUCGUGAGACAGUUCGGUCCCUAUCUGCCGUGGACGUUUGAGAUUUGAGAGGGGCUGCUCCUAGUACGAGAGGACCGGAGUGGACGAACCUCUGGUGUUCCGGUUGUCACGCCAGUGGCAUUGCCGGGUAGCUAUGUUCGGAAAAGAUAACCGCUGAAAGCAUCUAAGCGGGAAACUUGCCUCAAGAUGAGAUCUCACUGGGAACUUGAUUCCCCUGAAGGGCCGUCGAAGACUACGACGUUGAUAGGCUGGGUGUGUAAGCGUUGU